GACGAACGCUGGCGGCGUGCCUAAUACAUGCAAGUCGAGCGAAGUUUUUCUGGUGCUUGCACUAGAAAAACUUAGCGGCGAACGGGUGAGUAACACGUAAAGAACCUGCCUCAUAGACUGGGACAACUAUUGGAAACGAUAGCUAAUACCGGAUAACAGCAUUAACUGCAUGGUUGAUGUUUAAAAGUUGGUUUUGCUAACACUAUGAGAUGGCUUUGCGGUGCAUUAGCUAGUUGGUGGGGUAAAGGCCUACCAAGGCGACGACGCAUAGCCGACCUGAGAGGGUGAUCGGCCACACUGGGACUGAGACACGGCCCAGACUCCUACGGGAGGCAGCAGUAGGGAAUCUUCCGCAAUGGGCGAAAGCCUGACGGAGCAACGCCGCGUGAGUGAAGAAGGAUUUCGGUUCGUAAAGCUCUGUUGUUAGGGAAGAAUGAUUGUGUAGUAACUAUACACAGUAGAGACGGUACCUAACCAGAAAGCCACGGCUAACUACGUGCCAGCAGCCGCGGUAAUACGUAGGUGGCAAGCGUUGUCCGGAAUUAUUGGGCGUAAAGCGCGCGCAGGUGGUUUAAUAAGUCUGAUGUGAAAGCCCACGGCUCAACCGUGGAGGGUCAUUGGAAACUGUUAAACUUGAGUGCAGGAGAGAAAAGUGGAAUUCCUAGUGUAGCGGUGAAAUGCGUAGAGAUUAGGAGGAACACCAGUGGCGAAGGCGGCUUUUUGGCCUGUAACUGACACUGAGGCGCGAAAGCGUGGGGAGCAAACAGG
Molecule: ribosomal RNA, 768 nt
Filed under: uncultured bacterium
Lineage: Bacteria
Description: bacterial SSU rRNA
Rfam family: Bacterial small subunit ribosomal RNA
Source: RNAcentral